GACCUCCUCCCAGGUUCCGAACGUUCAAAGGCCGGCACUCCUCCUCCCAGCCGGCCUUACAAAUAGCACCCACCGCACCUCCUCCCGCGGUGGGUGUUGUU
This 101-nucleotide small RNA is filed under the name uncultured Phyllobacterium sp. RNAcentral describes it as "Alphaproteobacterial ar14". It matches the Rfam family "Alphaproteobacterial ar14", at positions 19 to 123 of the family's 123-position model. Rfam says of the family: Smr14C2 was renamed NfeR1 (Nodule Formation Efficiency RNA) highly expressed in salt stress and during the symbiotic interaction on legume roots. The record is from RNAcentral. Lineage: Bacteria; Pseudomonadati; Pseudomonadota; Alphaproteobacteria; Hyphomicrobiales; Phyllobacteriaceae.